This 467-nucleotide ribosomal RNA is filed under the name uncultured bacterium. RNAcentral's name for it is "partial 16S ribosomal RNA". It matches the Rfam family "Bacterial small subunit ribosomal RNA", at positions 28 to 507 of the family's 1533-position model. The record is from RNAcentral.
GAUGAACGCUGACAGAAUGCUUAACACAUGCAGGUCAACUUGAAUUUGGGUUUUUACCUUAGGUUUGGGUGGCGGACGGGUGAGUAACGCGUAAAGAACUUGCCUCACAGCUAGGGACAACAUUUGGAAACGAAUGCUAAUACCUAAUAUUAUGAUAAUAGGGCAUCCUAUAAUUAUGAAAGCUAUAAGCGCUGUGAGAGAGCUUUGCGUCCCAUUAGCUAGUUGGAGAGGUAACGGCUCACCAAGGCGAUGAUGGGUAGCCGGCCUGAGAGGGUGAUCGGCCACAAGGGGACUGAGACACGGCCCUUACUCCUACGGGAGGCAGCGGUGGGGAAUAUUGGACAAUGGACCGAGAGUCUGAUCCAGCAAUUCUGUGUGCACGAUGAAGUUUUUCGGAAUGUAAAGUGCUUUCAGUUGGGAAGAAGCAAAUGACGGUACCAACAGAAGAAGUGACGGCUAAAUACGUG